Molecule: ribosomal RNA, 253 nt
Filed under: uncultured bacterium
Lineage: Bacteria
Description: partial 16S ribosomal RNA
Rfam family: Bacterial small subunit ribosomal RNA
Source: RNAcentral
GACGUAGGGGGCCAGCGUUGUUCGGAAUUACUGGGUGUAAAGGGUUCGUAGGCGGUGCGGCAAGUCGGGAGUGAAAUCUCUGGGCUUAACCCAGAGGCUGCUUCCGAAACUGCUGUGCUUGAGUGUGGGAGAGGCGCGUGGAAUUGCAGGUGUAGCGGUGAAAUGCGUAGAUAUCUGCAGGAACACCCGUGGCGAAAGCGGCGCGCUGAACCACUACUGACGCUGAGGAACGAAAGCUAGGGGAGCAAACAGG